This 405-nucleotide ribosomal RNA is filed under the name uncultured bacterium. RNAcentral describes it as "partial 16S ribosomal RNA". It matches the Rfam family "Bacterial small subunit ribosomal RNA", at positions 28 to 526 of the family's 1533-position model. The record is from RNAcentral.
GAUGAACGCUAGCUACAGGCUUAACACAUGCAAGUCGAGGGACCGGCGCACGGGUGAGUAACACGUAUCCAACCUGCCCUUUACUCGGGGAUAGCCUUUCGAAAGAAAGAUUAAUACCCGAUAUAAAGGAUGGGGAUGCGUUCCAUUAGGUUGUUGGUGAGGUAACGGCCCACCAAGCCUUCGAUGGAUAGGGGUUCUGAGAGGAAGGUCCCUCACACUGGAACUGGGACACGGUCCAGACGCCUGCGGGAAGCAGGAGUGAGGAAUAAUGGUCAAUGGGCGCUAGCCUGAAACAGCCAAGUAGCGUGAAGGAUGAAUGCUUAUGGUCGUAAUCUUCUUUUAUAUAAGAAUAUGUAUUAUAUGAAUAAGGAUCGGCUAACUCCGUGCCAGCAGCCGCGGUAAUAC